Molecule: long non-coding RNA, 889 nt
Organism: Vigna angularis (adzuki bean)
Lineage: Eukaryota; Viridiplantae; Streptophyta; Magnoliopsida; Fabales; Fabaceae
Exons: 2
Source: RefSeq, a predicted model, not a curated record
UCCCAAAUUGAUUUUGGGCUUUCCUCUUCUUAACAGAGAAGCCCAUCUAUUGCGCCACCAGGGAGAGUUUCUCUCCUUCUCGCGCAUCCAAUCCAUCUAGGCUUCUUCCUCCGCAGAAGGUAGGAGAGCAUUCUUCUCCUUAUUCGUUUUGUUUCUUUUUUAUCCCGAGAGGCACGGCUUAGGCGACGUUCUCGCCUUUAGAGGGCGGCUCGCUGUGGACUCGUAGAGUCCUUCGUCGCGUGAGUAGACCUUCUUCUUCUCCUUUUCUUUUUCUGGCUCGCGGUGCAUGUGGAGAUUGAGGGUUGUAGUUUGGGUUUCUUUUGAUACACGGUUCUGUGAUUCUUUGGCGAGUUGUUUUGCGUUUUGUUUAUCUGUGUUCUCGAUCUCGCAGCGUUUUGGUGUUCGCGUUUCGUUUUGGGUGUGAUACUAGGUUCUCUUUUUAAGAAUUUUUUUUUUUUAUCUUGUGCUUGGGGUUAGCGUUCCGAGUUGUGAUUUGGAGCUUUCUUCUGCUUCUGUUCUUAGCAUUUUGUGGUUCUUUAUUGAUUCUUCUCCGUGAGUUUGAUUUGCGUCUUGAAGUUCUGUUUCUCGCUGGUUUGGAUUUCCAGUGGUGGUUCUGGGUUUUCCGUGGUGGUUGUUGUUGGUUGCACGAGCGGUGUCAAUGGAGGCGCGACCAUGGAUGUUGCGGUGGCUGGCCCGAGGAAUCUUUCAUGUGCUUGAUUUGAUUUGGGUUGUGUUAAUUGGACCGUAAAUCCAUGAACAGAUUGGAAUUUGUAAUAUUAAAGACCAACAAAAAAUAAUAAGAAAUUUAAUUGGGCUGUAGGCUCAGAGGUUAGCAUCGUGUGAUUGGAUUAAGUGUUGCUUCCUCCAUCACCACACCUUUUUUCCUCCA